Molecule: transfer RNA, 71 nt
Filed under: Streptococcus agalactiae
Lineage: Bacteria; Bacillati; Bacillota; Bacilli; Lactobacillales; Streptococcaceae
Also listed under: 2 other names
Description: tRNA-Gly
Rfam family: tRNA
About the family: Transfer RNA (tRNA) molecules are approximately 80 nucleotides in length.
Source: RNAcentral
GCGGGUGUAGUUUAGUGGUAAAACUACAGCCUUCCAAGCUGUUGUCGCGAGUUCGAUUCUCGUCACUCGCU